This is a non-coding RNA of Pelobates cultripes (western spadefoot toad), 232 nucleotides long. The record is from the annotation of a GenBank genome assembly. Lineage: Eukaryota; Metazoa; Chordata; Amphibia; Anura; Pelobatidae.
GCUACUGUGGAGUAUUCUUUUGCCUGUUCCAGGAGAGAAGGAUUUCGUAUGGUUCUCCGUUCGGUGAAUUGAAGUGUUCGUGAGUUGCUGGUCCCGUAUCAAGGGGAGGAGGAUUUCGUAUGUUUUUCCGGUUCGGUGAAUUGAAGGGUUCGCGAAUUGCUAUUCCCGUAUCAAGGUGAAUCCCUUAUUCGGUAUUAACCCACGAUACCCUGGUUAUACCGUAACAGAGCGG